UACAGAGGUCUCGAGCGUUGUUCGGAUUCAUUGGGCGUAAAGGGUGCGUAGGUGGCGGGGCAAGUCAGGUGUGAAAUCCCGGGGCUCAACCCCGGAACUGCAUUUGAUAUUGCCUUGCUCGAGUACUGGAGAGGAGACUGGAAUUUACGGUGUAGCAGUGAAAUGCGUAGAUAUCGUAAGGAAGACCAGUGGCGAAGGCGAGUCUCUGGACAGUUACUGACACUGAGGCACGAAGGCCAGGGGAGCAAACGGG
This 253-nucleotide ribosomal RNA is filed under the name uncultured bacterium. Its description in RNAcentral is "partial 16S ribosomal RNA". It matches the Rfam family "Bacterial small subunit ribosomal RNA", at positions 524 to 776 of the family's 1533-position model. The record is from RNAcentral.